This 84-nucleotide transfer RNA is filed under the name Chloroflexota bacterium. Its description in RNAcentral is "tRNA-Leu". It matches the Rfam family "tRNA". Rfam says of the family: Transfer RNA (tRNA) molecules are approximately 80 nucleotides in length. Their secondary structure includes four short double-helical elements and three loops (D, anti-codon, and T loops). The record is from RNAcentral. Lineage: Bacteria; Bacillati; Chloroflexota.
GGGGACGUGGCGUAAUGGCAGCCGCGCAUGCCUUAGGAGCAUGUACCGCAAGGUGUGAGAGUUCGAGUCUCUCCGUCCCCACCA